GACGAACGCUGGCGGCGUGCUUAACACAUGCAAGUCGUACGGUAAGGCCCUUUCGGGGGUACCCGAGUGGCGCACGGGUGCGUAACACGUGAGUAACCUGCCCACAACUUUGGGAUAACGCUAGGAAACUGGUGCUAAUACUGGAUAUGUGCUCCUGCUGCAUGGUGGGGGUUGGAAAGCUCCGGCGGUUGUGGAUGGACUCGCGGCCUAUCAGCUUGUUGGUGGGGUAGUGGCCUACCAAGGCGGCGACGGGUAGCCGGCCUGAGAGGGUGACCGGCCACAUUGGGACUGAGAUACGGCCCAGACUCCUACGGGAGGCAGCAGUGGGGAAUAUUGCACAAUGGGCGCAAGCCUGAUGCAGCAACGCCGCGUGCGGGAUGACGGCCUUCGGGUUGUAAACCGCUUUCAGCAGGGACGAAGCUUUUUGUGACGGUACCUGCAGAAGAAGCACCGGCUAACUACGUG
This 465-nucleotide ribosomal RNA is filed under the name uncultured bacterium. RNAcentral's name for it is "partial 16S ribosomal RNA". It matches the Rfam family "Bacterial small subunit ribosomal RNA", at positions 28 to 507 of the family's 1533-position model. The record is from RNAcentral.